RNAcentral lists this ribosomal RNA (703 nucleotides) under uncultured bacterium. RNAcentral's name for it is "bacterial SSU rRNA". It matches the Rfam family "Bacterial small subunit ribosomal RNA", at positions 138 to 857 of the family's 1533-position model. The record is from RNAcentral.
GGGGGAUAACGUUUGGAAACGAACGCUAAUACCGCAUGAUAUUAUUGAGCUGCAUGGCUUGAUAAUCAAAGGAGCAAUCCGCUGAAAGAUGGGCUCGCGUCCGAUUAGGUAGUUGGCGGGGCAACGGCCCACCAAGCCGACGAUCGGUAGCCGGACUGAGAGGUUGAACGGCCACAUUGGGACUGAGACACGGCCCAGACUCCUACGGGAGGCAGCAGUGAGGGAUAUUGGUCAAUGGGGGAAACCCUGAACCAGCAACGCCGCGUGAGGGAAGACGGUUUUCGGAUUGUAAACCUCUGUCCUCUGUGAAGAUGAUGACGGUAGCAGAGGAGGAAGCUCCGGCUAACUACGUGCCAGCAGCCGCGGUAAUACGUAGGGAGCAAGCGUUGUCCGGAUUUACUGGGUGUAAAGGGUGCGUAGGCGGCUUUGCAAGUCAGAAGUGAAAUCCAUGGGCUUAACCCAUGAACUGCUUUUGAAACUGCAGAGCUUGAGUGGAGUAGAGGUAGGCGGAAUUCCCGGUGUAGCGGUGAAAUGCGUAGAGAUCGGGAGGAACACCAGUGGCGAAGGCGGCCUGCUGGGCUCUAACUGACGCUGAGGCACGAAAGCGUGGGUAGCAAACAGGAUUAGAUACCCUGGUAGUCCACGCUGUAAACGAUGAUUACUAGGUGUGGGUGGACUGACCCCAUCCGUGCCGGAGUUAACA